GUGCUUGAUUUGGCAGCACAUAUACUAAAAAUUGGAACAGUACAGAGAAGACUGGCAUGGCCCCUACGAAAGAAUGAUGAUAUGUAAAUUUGUGAAACGUUCCAUAUUUUU
Small nuclear RNA from Grammomys surdaster, 111 nucleotides. NCBI's taxonomy places the organism in Eukaryota, Metazoa, Chordata, Mammalia, Rodentia, Muridae. The record is from RefSeq and is a predicted model, not a curated record.